GCAAGUCGAACGAGAACGGUCUUUAGCUUGCUAAAGAUGUCAGCUAAGUGGCGCACGGGUGAGUAAUAUAUAGUUAAUCUGCCCCAAAGAAGAGAAUAAUUGUUGGAAACGACUUGUAAUGCUCUAUAUGCCUUUAUUACAUAAGUAAGCAAGGGAAACAUUUAUGGCUUUGGGAUGGGACUGUACGGUAUCAGAUAGUUGGUGAGGUAAUGGCUCACCAAGUCAAUGACGCCUAACUGGUUUGAGAGGAUGAUC
Molecule: ribosomal RNA, 255 nt
Filed under: uncultured bacterium
Lineage: Bacteria
Description: partial 16S ribosomal RNA
Rfam family: Bacterial small subunit ribosomal RNA
Source: RNAcentral